GGAGAUGUAGUCUAAUUGGAUAGGCAUGGUGCUUCUAACGCCAUACAUGAGAGUUCGAGCCUCUUCAUCUCUU
RNAcentral lists this transfer RNA (73 nucleotides) under Candidatus Izimoplasma sp. HR2. RNAcentral's name for it is "Candidatus Izimaplasma sp. HR2 tRNA". It matches the Rfam family "tRNA". Rfam says of the family: Transfer RNA (tRNA) molecules are approximately 80 nucleotides in length. Their secondary structure includes four short double-helical elements and three loops (D, anti-codon, and T loops). Lineage: Bacteria; Bacillati; Mycoplasmatota; Mollicutes; Candidatus Izemoplasmatales; Candidatus Izemoplasmataceae. The record is from Rfam by way of RNAcentral.